RNAcentral lists this small nuclear RNA (165 nucleotides) under Oryza brachyantha (malo sina). Its description in RNAcentral is "snRNA U1". It matches the Rfam family "U1 spliceosomal RNA". From Rfam's summary of the family: U1 is a small nuclear RNA (snRNA) component of the spliceosome (involved in pre-mRNA splicing). Its 5' end forms complementary base pairs with the 5' splice junction, thus defining the 5' donor site of an intron. There are significant differences in sequence and secondary structure between metazoan and yeast U1 snRNAs, the latter being much longer (568 nucleotides as compared to 164 nucleotides in human). The record is from RNAcentral. Lineage: Eukaryota; Viridiplantae; Streptophyta; Magnoliopsida; Poales; Poaceae.
AUACUUACCUGGACGGGGUCUAUGGAUGAUCAUGAAGGUCCAUGGCCUAGGCUAGUGGCCUCCAUUGCACUUGGGAGGAGCACUGGCUUACCAUCUCCCUAAGUGGGAGAGUGGAUGGACGUCAUAAUUUGUGGCAGAGGGGGUACGCGUUCGCGCGGCCCCUAC